This is a long non-coding RNA of Peromyscus eremicus (cactus mouse), 1664 nucleotides long. RefSeq lists it as uncharacterized. The record is from RefSeq and is a predicted model, not a curated record. Lineage: Eukaryota; Metazoa; Chordata; Mammalia; Rodentia; Cricetidae. The transcript has 3 exons.
AUUACCUCAUGACUACCUUGUGACUGUACUUUUACACUUCCUGGUUUCUGGAAUCUGGAUUGACUGGUUUCAGUAACUCAUGGCCUAUACCUAAAAGGAGAAAUGUUAGGCCUUAGUUUUAGGGUGAAAGUAUUUUGGUCUUAUUUCUAAGAUGGCUCAUUUUGGUUUCACAUAUCCUCUUACCUGACUGCCACUUCUCUCCAGGAGUCUUCCGUGGCUCUAGAAUGUCCUCUUACCUGACUGCCACUUCUUUCCAGGAGUCUUCUGUGGUUCUAGAGCAUCCUCUUACCUGACUGCCACUUCUCUCCAGGAGUCUUGCGUGGUUCUAGAGCGUCCUCUUACCUGACUGCCACUUCUCUCCAGGAGUCUUCCGUGGUUCUAGAGCGUCCGCUUACCUGACUGCCACUUCUCUCCAGGAGUCUUCCGUGGUUCUAGAAUGUCCUCUUACCUGACUGCCACUUCUCUCCAGGAGUCUUCUGUGGUUCUAGAGCGUCCGCUUACCUGACUGCCACUUCUCUCCAGGAGUCUUCCGUGGUUCUAGAGCAUCCUCUUACCUGACUGCCACUUCUCUCCAGGAGUCUCCCGUGGUUCUAGCACAGUGGAUUCACAGCACAGUCUCUGAAGUUUGCUAUAAAUCGUUUGCCUUCCAACCAGAUGCACAUUAAUGCAGUGAAGUAUACAGGAUAAAUUAUCUAUGCCUUAACAACCCAGAAAGACCCUUCAAGGCUAGAGCAGAAGGGGCAGGAAGAAUCUAAGGGCCAGAGGGGAGGUAAGCUGAACAAAGAAGUCUCCAGGGUGACAGCCACUACAGCCACUAGACUCUCCACCCACUGCAGCAGUAGUCACCUUCCCAAAACGAGACUUCAGCAAGGUCCCACAACCCGAGGGACUGUUGGCAGGUAGGCCUACCCUACUCCUGUGGGCCAGAAUAAUGGCCUGCACUGACUAAGGAAGAAGGCAGCUGAGCAGCAGCAUUCAGCACCCUGCUUCCUGACUGCACCAUCCUGCUGCAUCACACUCGGGCCACCAACACUUCCAGCACGAUGGACUAUACCUUUCCAGCCACAAGCAAUGUAAACGCUUUCCCCUUAAACUGCUUAUAAGGUAUUUCAUCAAAGCAAUGAGAAAGAUAAUUACUAUUCAUACCUUCCACUCCAAUGACAUGAAUUCCUUUUUCUACAGAUUUUACCUAUAAGAAAUUUCUUCACUGAGAGUUUGUCUUUUUAUUAUUUUCCAAGUUUGUGCUUGGCCUUUAUUACACACCAACAUAUGGAAAACAGUAUACUCUAACAACUGAUAACAGCUAACUCUACUACUAGUUAUGAUGUAUGACCGUGGAGCUCAAGAAAGGGUAUACUAUCCUUUCUUUACCCUAGAAGCCUCUGUCCUCAGAACUCAAACCUGGGCCACAUCUGUAUCCACAUUUUUCACUCUGCAAUACCUGUGACAUCUACUGCAUCAGCGUGUACAAGUAUUUAGUGUUUUAAAGUGGGGGAGAUGAGCUGCCAUGAGAUGCUAUGUGGUCUCUAAUGAUAAAGAGAAAGCAAUUAUCUCUAACACCAUGUUAAGCACUGGUCUUAUAAUCUCUACUCUUCCUUCAAACUAUGUGGCUCCUAUGACAUAUUCAAAUAACACAGUAAAAUGAAUUCUUACUUGUUGUGGAA